UACGUAGGGUGCGAGCGUUAAUCGGAAUUACUGGGCGUAAAGCGUGCGCAGGCGGCUUUGCAAGACAGAGGUGAAAUCCCCGGGCUCAACCUGGGAACUGCCUUUGUGACUGCAAGGCUAGAGUACGGCAGAGGGGGAUGGAAUUCCGCGUGUAGCAGUGAAAUGCGUAGAUAUGCGGAGGAACACCGAUGGCGAAGGCAAUCCCCUGGGCCUGUACUGACGCUCAUGCACGAAAGCGUGGGGAGCAA
Molecule: ribosomal RNA, 248 nt
Filed under: uncultured Burkholderiales bacterium
Lineage: Bacteria; Pseudomonadati; Pseudomonadota; Betaproteobacteria; Burkholderiales
Description: partial 16S ribosomal RNA
Rfam family: Bacterial small subunit ribosomal RNA
Source: RNAcentral